Molecule: ribosomal RNA, 468 nt
Filed under: uncultured bacterium
Lineage: Bacteria
Description: partial 16S ribosomal RNA
Rfam family: Bacterial small subunit ribosomal RNA
Source: RNAcentral
GACGAACGCUGGCGGCGUGCUUAACACAUGCAAGUCGAACGGAAAGGCCCUGCUUUUGUGGGGUGCUCGAGUGGCGAACGGGUGAGUAACACGUGAGUAACCUGCCCUUGACUUUGGGAUAACUUCAGGAAACUGGGGCUAAUACCGGAUAGGAGCUCCUGCUGCAUGGUGGGGGUUGGAAAGUUUCGGCGGUUGGGGAUGGACUCGCGGCUUAUCAGCUUGUUGGUGGGGUAGGGGCUUACCAAGGCUUUGACGGGUAGCCGGCCUGAGAGGGGGACCGGCCACAAUGGGACUGAGAGACGGCCCAGACUCGUACGGGACGCAACAGUGGGGAAUAUUGCACAAUGGGCGGAAGCCUGAUGCAGCAACGCCGCGUGCGUGAUGACGGGCUUCGGGUUGUAAACCGCUUUCGCCUGUGACGAAGCGUGAGUGACGGUAAUGGGUAAAGAAGCACCGGCUAACUACGUG